RNAcentral lists this long non-coding RNA (250 nucleotides) under Salvia miltiorrhiza (redroot sage). RNAcentral's name for it is "long non-coding RNA (SMIL_LNC011394)". Lineage: Eukaryota; Viridiplantae; Streptophyta; Magnoliopsida; Lamiales; Lamiaceae. The record is from RNAcentral.
CGUAGAUGAGCCCUAGGAAUGAGGUAGGAGUAAUGAACCGCCGCAAAAGGACGAGGGAACUUAUUCUCAAGUAAAUCUCAUGUAUAUAAAUUGGAAUUAGGAAUCCAAUUGAUAUGAGGAGAGACCCGAAUCUAUUCUAGAUCGGAAAGUUAAAGUACUAAGGAAUAAGUCGAUACCUUUAGUAAUAGUUCUUUGAAAGCACCAUGACCAAGAAGAGGCGACGUGAGAACUCGAGUUUAGCAUGAAUGAG